This 324-nucleotide ribosomal RNA is filed under the name Tissierella praeacuta. RNAcentral's name for it is "bacterial SSU rRNA". It matches the Rfam family "Bacterial small subunit ribosomal RNA", at positions 104 to 422 of the family's 1533-position model. The record is from RNAcentral. Lineage: Bacteria; Bacillati; Bacillota; Tissierellia; Tissierellales; Tissierellaceae.
GGGUGAGUAACGCGUGAGAAACCUGCCUUUCACAAAGGGAUAGCCUCGGGAAACUGGGAUUAAUACCUUAUGAUACUAAUUCUUCGCAUGAAGAAUUAGUCAAAGCGUAAAGCGGUGAAAGAUGGUCUCGCGUCCCAUUAGUUAGUUGGUGAGGUAACGGCUCACCAAGACCGCGAUGGGUAGCCGGCCUGAGAGGGUGAACGGCCACACUGGAACUGAGACACGGUCCAGACUCCUACGGGAGGCAGCAGUGGGGAAUAUUGCACAAUGGAGGAAACUCCUGAAUGCAGCGGACGCCUCGUGAACCGAAUGAAGGCCUUCGGG